Molecule: long non-coding RNA, 727 nt
Organism: Cannabis sativa
Lineage: Eukaryota; Viridiplantae; Streptophyta; Magnoliopsida; Rosales; Cannabaceae
Exons: 3
Source: RefSeq, a predicted model, not a curated record
CGUCUGAUUUUAGGGUUUGCAUCUCAAUUUUUUUUUUCAGUCUCAGCUUCUUCUUCUCCGUCCCCUUUCUAUAUGUGGCUAAACAUAGUUCAUUCACAGGAAAACCCCUAAACUUCUCUACUGUGGCCGCUCCAAUGGGGUCCUCCGGCUUGCCCACUUUGCCGGUUCCCUUCCUCUCAUCUCAAUAAGCCGCGACUGGGAUUUUUAUCUCAGAAGUUUAUCGAAUAGUGCAGUCUGCCAGAGACUCCAAUACUGCCAGUGAUCCCGCUUCUGAUUCUUCUCUUGUACAAUCUGUUAAGAAGCUUCAUGAAUUAUGUAAAGCUGAGAAUGCAGAGGAUCUUGUUGUAAGAGUUUAUCCACAUAUUAACAAGCUUUUUUCAACGCUCAGUUGCUUCACUGUCACAAUCUCGAACAUCCAAUGGCCUUCUCUUACUGGUUCGAAUUAAAUUUUCACAAAUUUAUUAGCUGCAAUGAGAUUUGAUUUGGGAUGAAGAUAUUUUUAGAUGAAAGAGAUAUUCUUUACAAGUAUUAUUUUUUACUCACUUUUAAUAUAUUGUGUUUAGUAGAAAUAUAAACUUUAUAAUUGAUGUGACCACUUUUGAUCUUGUAAUCCUAGCUAAAACUUUGCAUAUCCUUAGAAACUAAUCGAUACCCUUUAGGCUUUAUCUAUCACUAUGCAUGAUUGCUGAAUAAAAUUUGACCAUCUACUAUUGCCCACAUAUUUCUC